GGAGGGGUGGCAGAGCGGUUGAAUGCGCUUGUCUUGAAAACAAGUAUGUCCGUAAGGGCAUCGCAGGUUCGAAUCCUGUCCCCUCCGCCA
Molecule: transfer RNA, 90 nt
Filed under: Chloroflexota bacterium
Lineage: Bacteria; Bacillati; Chloroflexota
Also listed under: 1 other name
Description: Chloroflexi bacterium tRNA-Ser
Rfam family: tRNA
About the family: Transfer RNA (tRNA) molecules are approximately 80 nucleotides in length. Their secondary structure includes four short double-helical elements and three loops (D, anti-codon, and T loops).
Source: RNAcentral